Molecule: ribosomal RNA, 484 nt
Filed under: Xylotrupes florensis
Lineage: Eukaryota; Metazoa; Arthropoda; Insecta; Coleoptera; Scarabaeidae
Description: partial large subunit ribosomal RNA
Rfam family: Bacterial large subunit ribosomal RNA
Source: RNAcentral
CAAAAACAUGUCUUUUUGAUUAUAAUUUAAAGUCUAACCUGCCCAAUGAGGAGUUAAAUGGCCGCGGUAAUUUGACCGUGCAAAGGUAGCAUAAUCAUUAGUUUUUUAAUUGAAAGCUGGAAUGAAUGGUUGGACGAGAAAAUAACUGUCUCAAUUUAAUUGGAAUUAGAAUUUUAUUUAUAAGUAAAAAAGCUUAUAUGAAUUUAAAAGACGAGAAGACCCUAUAGAAUUUAAUAUAUUAAUAUAUUUAUUAUUUUAGAAUUAUUAUUUAUAUAUAUAUAAGUAUAUUUUGUUGGGGCGAUAGAAAAAUUAAUUGAACUUUUUUUAUAUUUUAACAUUAAUGUAUGUGCAAGUGAUCCGUUUAUUACGAUUAAAAGAUUAAAUUACCUUAGGGAUAACAGCGUAAUUUUUUUUUAGAGUUCUUAUCGAAAAAAGAGUUUGCGACCUCGAUGUUGGAUUAAAAUUAACUUUUGGUGUAGGGGCU